AAACUGCGAUAAGUAGUGUGAAUUGCAUUUAGUGAAUCAUCGAAUCUUUGAACGCACCUUGCACUCACUGGUAUUCCGGUGAGUACGCCUGUUUCAGUAUCAUUGAAAACACACAAUCAAAACAUUUUCUUUGGUUUGAUUGGCUUUGGGUCUAUCAAAAAGUUUGGCUUGUUUCUUACAAGCCAAGCGACCUGAAAUAUAUUGUCUGGCUAAUUGCAUCGUUGAUGAUCGCUAUUAGACUUUGGCUUUUUUAAAUGAACUGGAGGUUGAUUAACCAGUUUUAGCUUUAGUCAAAUGGUCAUUGUAAAAAAAAUCUCGAUCUUGGCUAGGUGUUUAUAGCCGAAAAUUUUUUUUUGGCUAUAACCGAAACCAAUAUAAUCACAUUUAGUUAUCGAUCUGAAAUCAGGUGGGACUACCCGCUGAACUUAAGC
Molecule: unclassified non-coding RNA, 431 nt
Filed under: plant metagenome
Description: partial contains 5.8S ribosomal RNA, internal transcribed spacer 2, and large subunit ribosomal RNA
Rfam family: 5.8S ribosomal RNA (bases 1-102)
Source: RNAcentral